AACUUUGCGCUCGCAAUUGGUUCACAACCGAGUUUUGAUUAAAAGGGAAUAAGGUGAGAGUCCUUAACAGUCCCGCUGCUGUAAUCGGUAUUGUUGAAGAAGCGUAUGCCACUGACAUUGAGGGUCGGGAAGGUGUUUCUUCGAAAGCCGAAAAGUCAGAAGACCUGCCAUUGCCUGUGAAGUACU
This 186-nucleotide non-coding RNA is filed under the name Segatella oulorum. The record is from RNAcentral. Lineage: Bacteria; Pseudomonadati; Bacteroidota; Bacteroidia; Bacteroidales; Prevotellaceae.